GACGAACGCUGGCGGCGUGCUUAACACAUGCAAGUCGAACGGAAAGGCCUGCUUUCCCUUGUGGAUUGCGGGUACUCGAGUGGCGAACGGGUGAGUAACACGUGAGUGAUCUGCCCCCAACUUGGGUAUAAGCCUGGGAAACUGGGUCUAAUUCCCGAUAGGACUGCAGGGUGGUGCCUGUGGUGGAAAACGAUUUUCUAGUGGUUGGGGAUGAGCUCGCGGCCUAUCAGCUUGUUGGUGGGGUAAUGGCCUACCAAGGCGGCGACGGGUAGCCGGCCUGAGAGAGUGGACGGCCACAUUGCGACUGAGAUACGGCCCGAGCUCCUACGGCAGGCAGCAGUGGGGAAUAUUGCACAAUGAGCGGAAGACUGAAGCAGCGAAGCCGCCUGGGGGAUGACGGCCUUCGGGUUGUAAACUCCUUUCGACCGCGAGGAAGCCACCUGGUUGGAAGGGUGGUGACGGUAGUGGUAGAAGAAGCACCGGCUAACUACGUG
This 494-nucleotide ribosomal RNA is filed under the name uncultured bacterium. RNAcentral describes it as "partial 16S ribosomal RNA". It matches the Rfam family "Bacterial small subunit ribosomal RNA", at positions 28 to 507 of the family's 1533-position model. The record is from RNAcentral.